UACGUAGGGGGCUAGCGUUGUCCGGAGUCACUGGGCGUAAAGGGUUCGCAGGCGGAAUUUCAAGUCAGAUGUAAAAGGCAGUAGCUUAACUAUUGUAAGCAUUUGAAACUGCAUAUCUUGAGAAGAGGAGAGGUAAGUGGAAUUCUCAGUGUAGCGGUGAAAUGCGUAGAUAUUUAAAAGAAUACCGGUGGCGAAGGCGACUUACUGGGCUGUUUCUGACGCUGAGGCACGAAAGCGUGGGUAGCAAACAGG
Molecule: ribosomal RNA, 252 nt
Filed under: uncultured bacterium
Lineage: Bacteria
Description: partial 16S ribosomal RNA
Rfam family: Bacterial small subunit ribosomal RNA
Source: RNAcentral